AUCGCUUCUCGGCCUUUUGGCUAAGAUCAAGUGUAGUAUCUGUUCUUAUCAGUUUAAUAUCUGAUACGUCCCCUAUCUGGGGAACAUAUACUUAAAUGGAUUUUUGGAAACAGGGAGAUGGAAGAGAGCUUGCUCUGUCCCACAUCCACGCAUCGACCUGGUAUUGCAAGUAACCUCCAAGGACCGGUGCACCUCUC
This 197-nucleotide small nuclear RNA is filed under the name Xenopus tropicalis (tropical clawed frog). RNAcentral describes it as "U2 spliceosomal RNA (ENSXETG00000046326.1)". It matches the Rfam family "U2 spliceosomal RNA". From Rfam's summary of the family: U2 is a small nuclear RNA (snRNA) component of the spliceosome (involved in pre-mRNA splicing). Lineage: Eukaryota; Metazoa; Chordata; Amphibia; Anura; Pipidae. The record is from Rfam by way of RNAcentral.